Long non-coding RNA from Gopherus evgoodei (Goodes thornscrub tortoise), 354 nucleotides. RefSeq lists it as uncharacterized. The transcript has 2 exons. Lineage: Eukaryota; Metazoa; Chordata; Testudines; Testudinidae. The record is from RefSeq and is a predicted model, not a curated record.
AACUGAAAGACAUGGCAGGACAUAUGGGACAAAAUGUGACAGCCUGAGCCACUGAAAUAGAAAUGGGCAGUAAUAUAAAAAUCCAGCCUAGCCCUUGGAUGUUCCAUGACAUUUGUCACAAUGUGGAAAUACUAGGAUCACCACUUUGGCUUUUCCUGAUUUGAUGGACGACCAGAGGACUUGAAGCUUUCCUGCCCUUUAGUUGUUGAAGGGAUGGUAGUGUUAAAUUGUUAACAAAGAGAUCUUUUUACCAAACUGUUUGUCAGAUAUUUGAGUUUAAUUUGUGUUAAACAGAAACAGAACCCACCCUUCCCUCCUAAAAAGAGCUUUAAAUAAACAUUCUGACUAAAAAUA